GGUUCCAAUGAAAGUGGCGCACGGGUGCGUAACACGUAUGCAACCUACCUUAUACAGGGGGAUAGCCCGGGGAAACCCGGAUUAAUACCCCAUGGUAUAGACGAAUCGCAUGAUUUGUUUAUUAAAGAUUUAUCGGUAUAAGAUGGGCAUGCGUCUGAUUAGCUAGUUGGCGGUGUAACGGACCACCAAGGCUACGAUCAGUAGGGGUUCUGAGAGGAAGGUCCCCCACACUGGCACUGAGAUACGGGCCAGACUCCUACGGGAGGCAGCAGUAGGGAAUAUUGGGCAAUGGACGAGAGUCUGACCCAGCCAUGCCGCGUGCAGGAAGACGGCCUAUUGGUUGUAAACUGCUUUUAUACGGGAAGAAAAGGCCCAUGCGUGGGACAUUGCCGGUACCGUAUGAAUAAGCACCGGCUAACUCCGUGCCAGCAGCCGCGGUAAUACGGAGGGUGCAAGCGUUGUCCGGAUUUAUUGGGUUUAAAGGGUGCGUAGGCGGCUGAUUAAGUCAGCGGUGAAAGACUUCGGCUCAACCGGAGCAGUGCCGUUGAUACUGGUUAGCUUGAGUAUUGGAGGGGUACAUGGAAUUGAUGGUGUAGCGGUGAAAUGCAUAGAUACCAUCAGGAACACCGAUAGCGAAGGCAUUGUACUGGCCAAUAACUGACGCUGAUGCACGAAAGCAUGGGUAGCGAACAGGAUUAGAUACCCUGGUAGUCCAUGCCGUAAACGAUGAUUACUCGCUGUUAUUCUUUAGGGAGUAGCGGCCAAGCGAAAGCGUUAAGUAAUCCACCUGGGGAGUACGCCGGCAACGGUGAAACUCAAGGAAUUGACGGGGGUCCGCACAAGCGGUGGAGGAUGUGGUUUAAUUCGAUGAUACGCGAGAACUUACUGGGCUAGAUGUGAAGAUGAUUUAGAGAUAGAU
RNAcentral lists this ribosomal RNA (919 nucleotides) under Algoriphagus faecimaris. RNAcentral describes it as "bacterial SSU rRNA". It matches the Rfam family "Bacterial small subunit ribosomal RNA", at positions 82 to 1011 of the family's 1533-position model. The record is from RNAcentral. Lineage: Bacteria; Pseudomonadati; Bacteroidota; Cytophagia; Cytophagales; Cyclobacteriaceae.